This 65-nucleotide transfer RNA is filed under the name Curculionidae sp. BMNH 1039956. Its description in RNAcentral is "tRNA-Ile". Lineage: Eukaryota; Metazoa; Arthropoda; Insecta; Coleoptera; Curculionidae. The record is from RNAcentral.
ACUGAAAAGCCUGAUUAAAGGAUCAUUUUGAUAGAAUGAAUUAUGUAUAUUUUAUACUUUCAGUA